GCCGGAGUGGCGCAACGGUUGACGCGGCGGUCUCAAAAUCCGCUGGGCGCAAGCCCAUGAGGGUUCGAGUCCCUCCUCCGGCA
RNAcentral lists this transfer RNA (83 nucleotides) under Chloroflexota bacterium. RNAcentral's name for it is "tRNA-Leu". It matches the Rfam family "tRNA". From Rfam's summary of the family: Transfer RNA (tRNA) molecules are approximately 80 nucleotides in length. Their secondary structure includes four short double-helical elements and three loops (D, anti-codon, and T loops). The record is from RNAcentral. Lineage: Bacteria; Bacillati; Chloroflexota.